AAUACCACCCUUUAAUGUUUGAUGUUCUAACGUGGACCCGUGAUCCGGGUUGCGGACAGUGUCUGGUGGGUAGUUUGACUGGGGCGGUCUCCUCCUAAAGAGUAACGGAGGAGCACGAAGGUUGGCUAAUCCUGGUCGGACAUCAGGAGGUUAGUGCAAUGGCAUAAGCCAGCUUGACUGCGAGCGUGACGGCGCGAGCAGGUGCGAAAGCAGGUCAUAGUGAUCCGGUGGUUCUGAAUGGAAGGGCCAUCGCUCAACGGAUAAAAGGUACUCCGGGGAUAACAGGCUGAUACCGCCCAAGAGUUCAUAUCGACGGCGGUGUUUGGCACCUCGAUGUCGGCUCAUCACAUCCUGGGGCUGAAGUAGGUCCCAAGGGUAUGGCUGUUCGCCAUUUAAAGUGGUACGCGAGCUGGGUUUAGAACGUCGUGAGACAGUUCGGUCCCUAUCUGCCGUGGGCGCUGGAGAACUGAGGGGGGCUGCUCCUAGUACGAGAGGACCGGAGUGGACGCAUCACUGGUGUUCGGGUUGUCAUGCCAAUGGCACUGCCCGGUAGCUAAAUGCGGAAGAGAUAAGUGCUGAAAGCAUCUAAGCACGAAACUUGCCCCGAGAUGAGUUCUCCCUGAGACUUAGAGUCUCCUGAAGGAACGUUGAAGACGACGACGUUGAUAGGCCGGGUGUGUAAGCGCAGCGAUGCGUUGAGCUAACCGGUACUAAUGAACCGUGAGGCUUAACCUU
RNAcentral lists this ribosomal RNA (735 nucleotides) under Salmonella enterica subsp. enterica serovar Infantis. Its description in RNAcentral is "partial 23S ribosomal RNA". It matches the Rfam family "Bacterial large subunit ribosomal RNA", at positions 2196 to 2925 of the family's 2925-position model. RNAcentral also lists the same sequence under 3 other names. The record is from RNAcentral. Lineage: Bacteria; Pseudomonadati; Pseudomonadota; Gammaproteobacteria; Enterobacterales; Enterobacteriaceae.